RNAcentral lists this ribosomal RNA (203 nucleotides) under uncultured bacterium. Its description in RNAcentral is "partial 16S ribosomal RNA". It matches the Rfam family "Bacterial small subunit ribosomal RNA", at positions 523 to 725 of the family's 1533-position model. The record is from RNAcentral.
UAGCGAAGGGGGCUAGCGUUGUUCGGAAUUACUGGGCGUAAAGCGCACGUAGGCGGAUACUUAAGUCAGGGGUGAAAUCCCGGGGCUCAACCCCGGAACUGCCUUUGAUACUGGGUAUCUCGAGUCCGGAAGAGGUGAGUGGAAUUCCGAGUGUAGAGGUGAAAUUCGUAGAUAUUCGGAGGAACACCAGUGGCGAAGGCGGC